This 274-nucleotide ribosomal RNA is filed under the name uncultured bacterium. RNAcentral's name for it is "partial 16S ribosomal RNA". It matches the Rfam family "Bacterial small subunit ribosomal RNA", at positions 523 to 796 of the family's 1533-position model. The record is from RNAcentral.
AUACGGAGGGUGCAAGCGUUACUCGGAAUCACUGGGCGUAAAGCGCGCGCAGGCGGUUUGAUAAGUUGGAUGUGAAAUCCUAUGGCUCAACCAUAGAACUGCAUCCAAAACUGUCAAACUAGAGUCUGGGAGAGGAAGAUGGAAUUAGUUGUGUAGGGGUAAAAUCCGUAGAGAUAACUAGGAAUACCAAAAGCGAAGGCGAUCUUCUGGAACAGUACUGACGCUGAGGCGCGAAAGCGUGGGGAGCAAACAGGAUUAGAAACCCUAGUAGUCC